RNAcentral lists this ribosomal RNA (253 nucleotides) under uncultured bacterium. Its description in RNAcentral is "partial 16S ribosomal RNA". It matches the Rfam family "Bacterial small subunit ribosomal RNA", at positions 524 to 776 of the family's 1533-position model. The record is from RNAcentral.
UACGUAGGUGGCAAGCGUUGUUCGGAAUUAUUGGGCGUAAAGGGUGCGUAGGCGGGUCUUUAAGUCAGGGGUGAAAUCCUGGAGCUCAACUCCAGAACUGCCUUUGAUACUGAAGAUCUUGAGUUCGGGAGAGGUGAGUGGAACUGCGAGUGUAGAGGUGAAAUUCGUAGAUAUUCGCAAGAACACCAGUGGCGAAGGCGGCUCACUGGCCCGAUACUGACGUUGAGGCACGAAAGCGUGGGGAGCAAACAGG